This is a non-coding RNA of Schistosoma mansoni, 45 nucleotides long. NCBI's taxonomy places the organism in Eukaryota, Metazoa, Platyhelminthes, Trematoda, Strigeidida, Schistosomatidae. The record is from Rfam.
AUUCAGCUGACGAGUUCCAAAUAGGACGAAACGCGCAUCCAGGAU